This 500-nucleotide ribosomal RNA is filed under the name uncultured soil bacterium. RNAcentral's name for it is "bacterial SSU rRNA". It matches the Rfam family "Bacterial small subunit ribosomal RNA", at positions 95 to 633 of the family's 1533-position model. The record is from RNAcentral.
GCGGCGCACGGGUGAGUAACACGUAGGUAACCUACCUCAGAGACUGGGAUAACCUGUCGAAAGACGGGCUAAUACCAGAUACCACCACUUGCGGUAAAGGUGCACUCAGAGAUGGGCCUGCGCGCCAUUAGCUUGUUGGUGGGGUAAUGGCUCACCAAGGCAAAGAUGGCUAGCUGGUCUGAGAGGAUGGCCAGUUACACUGGGACUGAGACACGGCCCAGACUCCUACGGGAGGCAGCAGUGGGGAAUAUUGCGCAAUGGGCGAAAGCCUGACGCAGCGACGCCGCGUGGGUGAUGAAGGCCUUCGGGUCGUAAAGCCCUGUCGGGGGGGACGAAUGACGGUACCCCCGAAGGAAGCACCGGCUAACUCCGUGCCAGCAGCCGCGGUAAUACGGAGGGUGCGAGCGUUGUUCGGAAUCACUGGGCGUAAAGCGCGUGUAGGCGGCCUUCUAAGUCUGGUGUGAAAGCCCGGGGCUUACCCCCGGGAGGGCACUGGAAAC